GUCUUUUUGUUUUAUUAUAAUAAGUCUGGCCUGCCCUAUGUAGUAAUAAAUGGCCGCGGUAUUAUGACCGUGCGAAGGUAGCAUAAUCAAUAGUCUAUUAAAUGUAGUCUGGAAUGAAGGGUCUGACGAGGGGUAGCUUUCUUAAUUUUAUAGUUGAACUUAAAUUAUUAGUGAAAAUGCUAAUAUGAUUUAGAGGGACGAGAAGACCCUAUAAAGCUUUAUAUUAACUAAUUUUGUAGUAUUUUGUGUUAUAUUUUGUUGGGGCGACAGUAAAUGGAGACAUUUAUUUUAUUUAUCUUGUUAAUAGGUUUAUGAUCCAUUAAUAAUGAUUAAUAGGCUAAGUUACUUUAGGGAUAACAGCGUAAUUAUAUUUUAGAGUUCUUAUCGAUGAUGUAGUUUGCGACCUCGAUGUUGGAUUAAGAUGCCUUUAGGAUGCAGCUGUUUUAAGGGGUAGUCUGUUCGACUAUUAAAUUCUUACA
Molecule: ribosomal RNA, 479 nt
Filed under: Digitipes kalewaensis
Lineage: Eukaryota; Metazoa; Arthropoda; Chilopoda; Scolopendromorpha; Scolopendridae
Description: partial 16S ribosomal RNA
Rfam family: Bacterial large subunit ribosomal RNA
Source: RNAcentral